Molecule: long non-coding RNA, 945 nt
Organism: Xyrauchen texanus (razorback sucker)
Lineage: Eukaryota; Metazoa; Chordata; Actinopteri; Cypriniformes; Catostomidae
Exons: 5
Source: RefSeq, a predicted model, not a curated record
UCGUGUCUACCAUUGCCAGACACUGCACGUGGAGCAUGUGGCAGGGCAUCCAGGCCAUCACCAACUACAGGACAACAUCAGUUCCCUGUGACAAAGAUGCCUCCCUUCCAGAUGCGCUGAAUGACUUCUACGCUAGGUUUAAAGCACAGAAUGACAUAGAGUCAAACCACGGAAGGCUGAUGGACCAGACAACAUUCCAGGCAGAGUGCUCAGAGAAUGUGCAGACCAGCUGGCAGAUAUUGUCACCGACAUCUUCAACAUCUCUCUGAGCAGCGCCGUCGUUCCAACGUGCUUCAAGACCACCACCAUCAUCGUCCCCAUGUCAAAGAAGUCUUCAGUGUCCUGCCUCAACGAGUACCGCCCCGUCGCACUCACACCCAUCAUCAUGAAGUGCUUCGAGAGGCUCGUCAUGAGAGCUGAGCUGAUGGUGGUUCUGCAGACAGGGCUGAGUUAAGAGGUGCAGAGUUAAGCAUUGUCUUCUCGAACAAACAGAGUCUGAACAUUCACCUCAGACAGACAGAAGAACAGAUUGAUGAUCUUCAUCAUCAUCAUCAUCAUCAUGUACAGGCACACAUAGAGCAUCAGCACUGUAUCAUCACAGUCAACUGCAGAUCAAACUCAUCCAUCACCUCCUCUGAUAUCUGAAGCAUGUAGGUGAUCAAUGAACAUUGAGCAGGAGAGAGUUUCUCCUCUGAGUGUUUGUCUGAUUUCACAAACUCCUGAAUCUCUCUGGACAGAGUCUGAUCGUUCAUCUCCAGCAGACACAGGAACAGAUUGAUGGAUCUGUCAGCUGAGAGACGUUCAUCACUCUUGAUUUUAUCUUUAAUGUACUGUGUGAUUUCUCUGAUGUUCUCUGAACUGUUCUCUGUGUGUGUCAGUAGAUCCUGUAAGAGUCUCUGAUUGGACUCCAGUGAGAUGCCCAGCAGGAAUCGCAGGAAAAGAUCC